This 1698-nucleotide long non-coding RNA is filed under the name Homo sapiens (human). RNAcentral's name for it is "HSALNT0406719". The record is from RNAcentral. Lineage: Eukaryota; Metazoa; Chordata; Mammalia; Primates; Hominidae.
CUGGGCCACAGUAUAACACGGGUGAGCCUUGGACGCCCGCCUGCCUCAUUCACUCAUGACACACAGCUGAGCAGGCCUUGGGCCCUGGGCCCCGACCCAGCACCGGGAACAAACAACACUGGCAAAGAUCCCGGGCCCUGCAGCUGGGGGACCAAGUCUGGGGCUGCCUGGCACUAAGGAGGGUCUUGGGUCAGAGUGUCAGUGCUGACACCAGGACAGUCCCAGGCAAACUGGGAUCAUGGAGCUGACCUUUGCAUGAGAGAGACAACCAGAGCCAAGUGACAUAAGCUGGAGUGCAGUGGCAUGAUCUCGGCUUGCUACAACCUCCACCUCCCAGCCGCCUGCCUUGGCCUCCCAAAGUGCUAAGAUUACAGCCUCUGUCCAGCCGCCACCCCGUCUAGGAAGUGAGGAGCGCCUCUGCCCGGCCGCCCAUUGUCUGGGAUGUGAGGAGCGCCUCUGCCCGGCUGCCCCGUCUGGGAGGUGAGGAGCGCCUCUGCCCGGCCGCCCAUCGUCUGGGAGGUGAGGAGCGCCUCUGCCCAGCCGCCACCCUAUCUAGGAAGUGAGGAGCGCCUCUGCCCGGCUGCCCCGUCUGGGAAGUGAGGAGCGUCUCUGCCUGGCCACCGCCCGUCUGGGAAGUGAGGAGUGCCUCUGCCUGGCCGCUGUGCAAUCUUCCAAGUGUGAAGUGACAGCCUUUCUGCAGGUGUAUCCAACAGCUGUGAAGAGACAGCGACCAUCGAGAACGGGCCAUGAUGACGAUGGCGGUUUUGUCAAAAAGAAAAGGGGGAAAUGUGGGGAAAAGAAAGAGAGAUCAGAUUGUUACUGUGUCUGUGUAGAAAGAAGUAGACAUAGGAGACUCCAUUUUCUGUACUAAGAAAAUUCUUCUGCCUUGGGAUGCUGUUAAUCUAUAACCUUACCCCCAACCCCGUGCUCUCUGAAACAUGUGCUGUGUCCACUCAGGGUUAAAUGGAUUAAGGGCGGUGCAAGAUGUGCUUUGUUAAACAGAUGCUCGAAGGCAGCAUGCUUGUUAAGAGUCAUCACCACUCCCUAAUCUCAAGUACCCAGGGACACAAACACUGCGGAAGGCCGCAGGGUCCUCUGCCUAGGAAAACCAGAGACCUUUGUUCACAUGUUUAUCUGCUGACCUUCUGUCCACUAUUGUCCUAUGACUCUGACAUAUCCCCCUCUCUGAGAAACACCCAAGAAUGAUCAAUAAAUGCUAAAAAAAAAAAAAAGAAAAAAAAAGAGAGAGAGAGAUGGAGUCUUGCUCGGUCACCCAGGCUGGAGUGCAGUAGCGCAAUCUCAGGUCACUGCAACCUCUGCCUCCCAGGUUCAAGCAAUUCUCCUGCCUCAGCCUCCUGAGUACCUGGGAUUACAGGUGUGUGCUACCACAUCCGGCUAAUUUUUCUAUUUUUGGUAGAGACAAGGUUUCUCUAUGUUGGCCAGGCUGAUCUCGAACUCCUGACCUCAGGUGAUCUGCCCUCCUCGGCCUCCCAAAAUGCUGGAAUUACAGGCGUGAGCCACCGCACCCAGCCUGCUUAUUGAAUAUUUUUAAGAUAGUUGAUUUAACAUUUUUGUCUAGUACUUCCAAUGUCUGGACAGCUUCAGAAGUGACUUCUAUAAAAUUACCUUUUUUUUUUUUUUCCUGUGAAUGGGUCAUACUUUCCUGUUUCUUUGUAUGCUGUGUAAUUUUGUAUUGGA